GUAGGUGAACCUGCGGAAGGAUCAUUCAUAAUAAGUGUUUUAUGGCACUUUUUUAAAUCCAUAUCCACCUUGUGUGCAAUGUCAGGGUUGAUUUUUCUCUCGAGAGGAUCAGCCCCAAACAUCAACUAUAUCUCAACUCUUUGUCUGAAAAAUAUUAUGAAUAAAACAAUUCAAAAUACAACUUUCAACAACGGAUCUCUUGGCUCUC
Molecule: unclassified non-coding RNA, 208 nt
Filed under: plant metagenome
Description: partial contains small subunit ribosomal RNA, internal transcribed spacer 1, and 5.8S ribosomal RNA
Source: RNAcentral